GAAGAGUAGCGAACGGGUGAGUAACGCGUGGGUAACCUACCUCUUAGCGGGGGACAACUAUUGGAAACGAUAGCUAAUACCGCAUAACAAUAUUAAACACAUGUUUAAUAUUUGAAAGUACCAAUUGGUACACUAGGAGAUGGACCCGCGUUGUAUUAGCUAGUUGGUAGUGUAAUGGACUACCAAGGCGAUGAUACAUAGCCGACCUGAGAGGGUGAUCGGCCACAUUGGGACUGAGACACGGCCCAAACUCCUACGGGAGGCAGCAGUAGGGAAUCUUCGGCAAUGGACGAAAGUCUGACCGAGCAACGCCGCGUGAGUGAAGAAGGUUUUCGGAUCGUAAAGCUCUGUUGUAAGAGAAGAACGUGUGUGAGAGUGGAAAGUUCACACAGUGACGGUAACUUACCAGAAAGGGACGGCUAACUACGUGCCAGCAGCCGCGGUAAUACGUAGGUCCCGAGCGUUGUCCGGAUUUAUUGGGCGUAAAGCGAGCGCAGGCGGUUUGAUAAGUCUGAAGUAAAAGGCUGUGGCUUAACCAUAGUAUGCUUUGGAAACUGUCAAACUUGAGUGCAGAAGGGGAGAGUGGAAUUCCAUGUGUAGCGGUGAAAUGCGUAGAUAUAUGGAGGAACACCGGUGGCGAAAGCGGCUCUCUGGUCUGUAACUGACGCUGAGGCUCGAAAGCGUGGGGAGCAAACA
This 696-nucleotide ribosomal RNA is filed under the name uncultured Lactococcus sp. RNAcentral's name for it is "bacterial SSU rRNA". It matches the Rfam family "Bacterial small subunit ribosomal RNA", at positions 90 to 774 of the family's 1533-position model. The record is from RNAcentral. Lineage: Bacteria; Bacillati; Bacillota; Bacilli; Lactobacillales; Streptococcaceae.